Molecule: ribosomal RNA, 253 nt
Filed under: uncultured bacterium
Lineage: Bacteria
Description: partial 16S ribosomal RNA
Rfam family: Bacterial small subunit ribosomal RNA
Source: RNAcentral
UACGAAGGGGGCUAGCGUUGCUCGGAAUUACUGGGCGUAAAGGGCGCGUAGGCGGAUAUUUAAGUCGGGGGUGAAAGCCCAGGGCUCAACCCUGGAAUUGCCUUCGAUACUGGAUAUCUUGAGUACGGGAGAGGUGUGUGGAACUCCGAGUGUAGAGGUGAAAUUCGUAGAUAUUCGGAAGAACACCAGUGGCGAAGGCGACACACUGGCCCGUUACUGACGCUGAGGCGCGAAAGCGUGGGGAGCAAACAGG